UCUUUGUCCCUUAGGUUUCCUUUUUUGGCAUAGGCAGUUUGCCAGCCCCCUACAUUCUCAGUCUGAUUUCCUCAUCCCAGUCAUUAUGGGAGGCAAGUGCUACUGAUCAUUGCACAGACAAGGAAAUUCAGGUCACAGCAAUAAGAGCCAUAGAGUCAAUUCGUUUGUUCCCAGGUUCUUGGGGCUUGAAAAGAUCCCUUUAUGGAGUGAAGCCACUUUUUCUCAAGGUUCUGAAACUCGCGCUGCUCUAGCCUGAGGCUUCCAGAAGUGCCCUACAGGUGCCUGAGUGUGCAGGCCUGCUGCCUGCAAGUGUGCCCAGCGGGUGCAGGGUUUGGCGUGUAUCGGUGUGACCAGGAGCUAAGAGACUGGGGCACAGCCUCUCCCCAACACGGACUCUAUUUCCCCACACGCUCACUCCGCCUCCCUCAACUUCAGUCUUCUUUCUCUAUAAUUAGCACAGGGAUCACUGCCUCUAUUUUCUUAGAGGCAUUGUUCAUUGCUCGCCCCUCACCCGGUUACUCAGAUUGUCCAGCCCAUCCAGGGCAGUAGAUGUGUUUCUAAAGGAGAAGGUGCUAACAAUGGAAAGAAAGACUGUGAAAGACCUACUCUUUCAGAAGCUUGAAGGAAACCAAGAGGAGAGCUUGCUCUGCUUUGUGCCCUAAUGGUGGAGUUUUAAGGCAGGUGAGGACAGAAUCU
RNAcentral lists this long non-coding RNA (696 nucleotides) under Rhinopithecus bieti (black snub-nosed monkey). RNAcentral's name for it is "lncRNA (ENSRBIG00000046136.1)". The record is from RNAcentral. Lineage: Eukaryota; Metazoa; Chordata; Mammalia; Primates; Cercopithecidae.